RNAcentral lists this ribosomal RNA (376 nucleotides) under uncultured bacterium. Its description in RNAcentral is "bacterial SSU rRNA". It matches the Rfam family "Bacterial small subunit ribosomal RNA", at positions 28 to 404 of the family's 1533-position model. The record is from RNAcentral.
GACGAACGCUGGCGGCGUGCUUAACACAUGCAAGUCGAGCGGUAAGGCCCUUUCGGGGGUACACGAGCGGCGAACGGGUGAGUAACACGUGGGUGACCUGCCCUCAGCUCUGGGAUAAGCCUGGGAAACCGGGUCUAAUACUGGAUAUGACUCCAUGACGCAUGUUGUGGGGUGGAAAGCCUUGUGCGGCUGAGGAUGGGCCCGCGGCCUAUCAGCUUGUUGGUGGGGUNAUGGCCUACCAAGGCGACGACGGGUAGCCGGCCUGAGAGGGCGACCGGCCACACUGGGACUGAGACACGGCCCAGACUCCUACGGGAGGCAGCAGUGGGGGAAUCUUGCGCAAUGGGCGAAAGCCUGACGCAGCGACGCCGCGUGA